This 620-nucleotide long non-coding RNA is filed under the name Homo sapiens (human). RNAcentral's name for it is "non-protein coding lnc-NKX2-8-3:1". Lineage: Eukaryota; Metazoa; Chordata; Mammalia; Primates; Hominidae. The record is from RNAcentral.
GCGUGAGCUAUAACUGCUUGAGUCACUAUCCACUGGAGAUGAGAGCUUUACCGUGUGAGGAGGAAACAGGUUAUUUGGUUUUUACAAGGGAAUUCUGCCACCUAUCUUGGCUGAAACCCCAAAAAGAGCAGUGAAGUUUUUCACCUUUGAGCAGUACAAGAAAUUGCUGGGAUAUGUGUCACUGUCACCAGCAUUGACAUUCGCCAUUGCUGGAUUGGGAUCUGGACUAACAGAAGCCAUUGUAGUUAACCCUUUUGAGGUAGUAAAAGUUGGCUUGCAAGCAAAUCGGAACACAUUUGCAGAGAGUUUUGCUCUUGUUGCCCAGGCUGGAGUGCAAUGGCGCAAUCUCGGCUCACCGCAACCUCCGUCUCCUGGGUUCAAGCUAUUCUCCUGCCUCAGCCUCCCUCGUAGCUGGGAUUACAGGCAUGCACCACCACACCCAGCUAAUUUUGUAUAUUUUUUGUAGAGACAGGGUUUCUCCAUGUUGGUCAGGCUGGUCUCGAACUCCUGACAUCAGGUGAUCCACCUGCCUUGGCCUCCCAGAGUGCUGGGAUUGCAGGCGUGAGCCACCACGCCCAGCCAUAAAAACUUAUUUUUAAUGUGCAUGUGAAACAAUGGGC